CCUACGGGGGGCAGCAGUCGAGAAUCAUUCACAAUGGGGGAAACCCUGAUGGUGCGACGCCGCGUGGGGGAAUGAAGUUCUUCGGAUUGUAAACCCCUGUCAUGUGGGAGCAAAUUAAAAAGAUAGUACCACAAGAGGAAGAGACGGCUAACUCUGUGCCAGCAGCCGCGGUAAUACAGAGGGCUCACGCGUUGUUCGGAAUCACGGGGCGUAAAGCGUGCGUAGGCUGUUUCGUAAGUCGUGUGUGAAAGGCGCGGGCUCAACCCGCGGACGGCACAUGAUACUGCGAGACUAGAGUAAGGGAGGGGGAACCGGAAUUCUCGGUGUAGCAGUGAAAUGCGUAGAUAUCGAGAGGAACACUCGUGGCGAAGGCGGGUUCCUGGACAUUAACUGACGCUGAGGCACGAAGGCCAGGGGAGCGAAAGGGAUUAGAUACCCUAGUAGUC
Molecule: ribosomal RNA, 446 nt
Filed under: uncultured bacterium
Lineage: Bacteria
Description: partial 16S ribosomal RNA
Rfam family: Bacterial small subunit ribosomal RNA
Source: RNAcentral